GUUGGGCAUGUUUUGCCCUUAAUCCAGUCUGGAGUCUGAGGUUGGUGGAUCAAGUGAGCUGGAGGAAGCUCUGUGGCGACAGCACCCUAUGUCGAACGGGUCGUCCACGCUAAGUUCGUCGAGAUAUGGUGUUCCGGGGGAGCCCGGCCACCCACCAGGUUGUCUAAGGAGGCGGUGAAACCGGCCCAGGUCGGAAACGAAGCAGUCAAAUCCCCGUGCUGUCCAGUAUUUGGGAUAUUACCUUGUGAGUAGAUUAGCUGCAGUGGCAGGUGCUUGGCAAUAUACUUCGAGACUAAUCUUAU
Molecule: signal recognition particle RNA, 302 nt
Filed under: Oncorhynchus tshawytscha (Chinook salmon)
Lineage: Eukaryota; Metazoa; Chordata; Actinopteri; Salmoniformes; Salmonidae
Description: Metazoan signal recognition particle RNA
Rfam family: Metazoan signal recognition particle RNA
About the family: The signal recognition particle (SRP) is a universally conserved ribonucleoprotein. It is involved in the co-translational targeting of proteins to membranes.
Source: Rfam by way of RNAcentral